UAUGUUGGGGUUUUAUUAUGUAGUUUGUAUGCUUAAUUAAUUUAAUUUUCUUUGAGUAGUGGGUGGGAGAUUACAAUGUGUUUGCGAGACCUGUAUUUUGCCGGGAAGAGAAGGCUUUGCAUAUGAAGUUAAUGAACGUGAUAAACUCAACUCGGUUUUUGAUGAAGACUUCGCGACUACCAUAGUUCAGUCCAGUCAGCUAAUUAUACCCGGGCCUCGCUAUAUGGUCGAGGCACUACCCAAUUACUCCAUAAACUAUAGGCAUACGGUAAUCAGAGAUGCCAUGAGUCCUCCCCCUCCCACUACAUUUCCCGCUAUAAUAAUUAAAAUUCAACACGAAGCCCGUCGCUCAUAGUAUUGAACGACCGGUUUGGCAGUUUGGCAUAUUCGUCGUUCUUGCAUAGUCGUUAGAAUGUGGAGUAUCUUAAUUCGACGCAGACACGGUCAUAGGAAGACGAGACAAAGGCAAGACAACGCAGAUAGUUUUUUUUUCUGAUUAGAUGAAUUUCUACAAGUCAGUACUACCGAGACUAAGGAAGUCUGGCGAAUGGGCAAGAUACAAGUGGCUGUGCUUUACUCAGGCCUGGCCGAUUGAGGCUGACGAUCUCCCGCGUGCGCCUCCAUCACCCAAAGCGGGCAAUGUGUCGCCCACCUCGUUGAUUAUUUCCUAAAGAACCGCCCGUCUGGGUUUUCGUUUUAUUAUAUGCCAAUAGAGUUUUCUUAAAACCUUUGCUAAUUUAACA
This is a long non-coding RNA of Penaeus monodon (black tiger shrimp), 743 nucleotides long. RefSeq lists it as uncharacterized. The transcript has 2 exons. The record is from RefSeq and is a predicted model, not a curated record. NCBI's taxonomy places the organism in Eukaryota, Metazoa, Arthropoda, Malacostraca, Decapoda, Penaeidae.